This 70-nucleotide transfer RNA is filed under the name Parapolybia nodosa. RNAcentral describes it as "tRNA-Pro". Lineage: Eukaryota; Metazoa; Arthropoda; Insecta; Hymenoptera; Vespidae. The record is from RNAcentral.
UCAAAAAAUAGUUUUAAAAAAAAUUUUAAUUUUGGAGAUUAAAGAUAUAUAAAUAUAUUUAUUUUUUUGA